CCACAAUAUAGUUUCUUCAUCUUCAAGAAAAAACUGAAUAAACAAUCCACAAAGAGAUGUCAGAUGUGUAUGGCAAGGAAUAUCCAUCAUAUGAAAUUAUAAAAGGAUGGAAAUGGAAAUUGAAAUAUGGUCACAUCAGCCUACAGAAUGAAGGGCCAUCCAGCAAAGUUAUAUUGUCUGUGUUUUGGGACAACAGAUUAUUUACAAAAAAGAAUCAACAAUAACAGAGGCAUACUACAAGAACUUACUAUAAAAGUUACAGAACAAUAUCAAGAAAAAAGAUGUGGUUUGCUGUCGAAAGGUGUGUUGCUGCUAACUGACAAUGCACAUGCACACUGA
Molecule: long non-coding RNA, 339 nt
Filed under: Androctonus crassicauda
Lineage: Eukaryota; Metazoa; Arthropoda; Arachnida; Scorpiones; Buthidae
Source: RNAcentral